UACGAAGGGGGCUAGCGUUGUUCGGAAUUACUGGGCGUAAAGCGCGCGCAGGCGGCUUUUCAAGUCAGGGGUGAAAGCCCGGAGCUCAACUCCGGAACUGCCUCUGAGACUGUAAAGCUUGAGUACGGGAGAGGUGAGUGGAAUUCCGAGUGUAGAGGUGAAAUUCGUAGAUAUUCGGAAGAACACCGGUGGCGAAGGCGGCUCACUGGCCCGUUACUGACGCUCAGGCGCGACAGCGUGGGGAGCAAACAGG
Molecule: ribosomal RNA, 253 nt
Filed under: uncultured bacterium
Lineage: Bacteria
Description: partial 16S ribosomal RNA
Rfam family: Bacterial small subunit ribosomal RNA
Source: RNAcentral